UACGUAGGGGGCAAGCGUUGUCCGGAAUCAUUGGGCGUAAAGCGCGUGUAGGCGGUCUGGUCAGUCGGUUGUGAAAGUCAAGGGCUCAACCCUUGAAUGCCGGCCGAUACUGCCGGGCUAGAGUCCGGAAGAGGUGAGUGGAAUUCCUGGUGUAGCGGUGAAAUGCGCAGAUAUCAGGAGGAACACCGAUGGCGAAGGCAGCUCACUGGGAAGGUACUGACGCUGAGACGCGAAAGCGUGGGGAGCAAACAGG
RNAcentral lists this ribosomal RNA (253 nucleotides) under uncultured bacterium. Its description in RNAcentral is "partial 16S ribosomal RNA". It matches the Rfam family "Bacterial small subunit ribosomal RNA", at positions 524 to 776 of the family's 1533-position model. The record is from RNAcentral.